GACGAACGCUGGCGGCGUGCUUAACACAUGCAAGUCGUACGGUAAGGCCCUUUCGGGGGUCCACGAGUGGCGAACGGGUGAGUAACACGUGAGUAACCUGCCCACAACUUUGGGAUAACGCUAGGAAACUGGUGCUAAUACUGGAUAUGUGCUCCUGCUGCAUGGUGGGGGUUGGAAAGCUCCGGCGGUUGUGGAUGGACUCGCGGCCUAUCAGCUUGUUGGUGGGGUAGUGGCCUACCAAGGCGGCGACGGGUAGCCGGCCUGAGAGGGUGACCGGCCACAUUGGGACUGAGAUACGGCCCAGACUCCUACGGGAGGCAGCAGUGGGGAAUAUUGCACAAUGGGCGUAAGCCGGAUGCAGCAACGCCGCGUGCGGGAUGACGGCCUUCGGGUUGUAAACCGCUUUCAGCAGGGACGAAGCUUUUUGUGACGGUACCUGCAGAAGAAGCACCGGCUAACUACGUG
RNAcentral lists this ribosomal RNA (465 nucleotides) under uncultured bacterium. RNAcentral describes it as "partial 16S ribosomal RNA". It matches the Rfam family "Bacterial small subunit ribosomal RNA", at positions 28 to 507 of the family's 1533-position model. The record is from RNAcentral.